GCGCUCUUAGCUCAGCUGGAUAGAGCAACAGCCUUCUAAGCUGUGGGUCGGGCGUUCGAAUCGCCCAGAGCGCGCCA
RNAcentral lists this transfer RNA (77 nucleotides) under Alphaproteobacteria bacterium. RNAcentral's name for it is "tRNA-Arg". It matches the Rfam family "tRNA". Rfam says of the family: Transfer RNA (tRNA) molecules are approximately 80 nucleotides in length. Their secondary structure includes four short double-helical elements and three loops (D, anti-codon, and T loops). Further hydrogen bonds mediate the characteristic L-shaped molecular structure. tRNAs have two regions of fundamental functional importance: the anti-codon, which is responsible for specific mRNA codon recognition, and the 3' end, to which the tRNAs corresponding amino acid is attached (by aminoacyl-tRNA synthetases). tRNAs cope with the degeneracy of the genetic code in two manners: having more than one tRNA (with a specific anti-codon) for a particular amino acid; and 'wobble' base-pairing, i.e. permitting non-standard base-pairing at the 3rd anti-codon position. The record is from RNAcentral. RNAcentral also lists the same sequence under 1 other name. Lineage: Bacteria; Pseudomonadati; Pseudomonadota; Alphaproteobacteria.